CUCAUACUCCCUCCGUCCCAAAAUACUUGUCAAAAAAAUGGAUGUAUCUAGACAUAUUUUAGUUCUAGAUACUUCCAUUUUUAUCAAUUUCUCCGACAAGUAUUUCCGGACGGAGGGAGUAAUAU
Molecule: non-coding RNA, 125 nt
Organism: Triticum aestivum (bread wheat)
Lineage: Eukaryota; Viridiplantae; Streptophyta; Magnoliopsida; Poales; Poaceae
Source: Rfam